UAACUGAAGAGUUUGAUCAUGGCUCAGAUUGAACGCUGGCGGCAGGCUUAACACAUGCAAGUCGAGCGGGGGAAGGUAGCUUGCUACCGGACCUAGCGGCGGACGGGUGAGUAAUGCUUAGGAAUCUGCCUAUUAGUGGGGGACAACAUCUCGAAAGGGAUGCUAAUACCGCAUACGUCCUACGGGAGAAAGCAGGGGAUCUUCGGACCUUGCGCUAAUAGAUGAGCCUAAGUCGGAUUAGCUAGUUGGUGGGGUAAAGGCCUACCAAGGCGACGAUCUGUAGCGGGUCUGAGAGGAUGAUCCGCCACACUGGGACUGAGACACGGCCCAGACUCCUACGGGAGGCAGCAGUGGGGAAUAUUGGACAAUGGGGGGAACCCUGAUCCAGCCAUGCCGCGUGUGUGAAGAAGGCCUUAUGGUUGUAAAGCACUUUAAGCGAGGAGGAGGCUACUUUAGUUAAUA
Molecule: ribosomal RNA, 462 nt
Filed under: Acinetobacter baumannii
Lineage: Bacteria; Pseudomonadati; Pseudomonadota; Gammaproteobacteria; Moraxellales; Moraxellaceae
Description: bacterial SSU rRNA
Rfam family: Bacterial small subunit ribosomal RNA
Source: RNAcentral